Molecule: non-coding RNA, 73 nt
Organism: Trichonephila inaurata madagascariensis
Lineage: Eukaryota; Metazoa; Arthropoda; Arachnida; Araneae; Nephilidae
Source: the annotation of a GenBank genome assembly
GUCUCUGUAGUGCAAUAGAUAGCACUUUGGACCUAAUUCAAAUUUCGUAGGUUCGAUUCCUAUCUAGAUGACC